CGUCGGCAAUUGUGAGAGAAAAAAAAAGCCGAAUUUCUCACAGAAUCCUAUUUGGGGACUUAAAGCUCUGCGAAGCACCCAGCGCUGUUAGAUUCGUGACACAAACAUGAAUGUUCCCCAGACGUGCAGGUGGGUGCAGAAAUCCACACCGACCCACGGACAACAGCAGCAUGGCAGCUUCCCACCAGCUGUACGUGAAGGAAACUGCCCCAGGGCUCUGCAGUUGUUUGUUUGGGCGCAUGGGGAGUUCAAACCGAAAGUUGGAAAGCAAAACAAAACCCAGCAAGCCAAAACCGUUGUUUGAAUUAGGCGGUUCUUCUACAACCAGUCCAAGCGAGAAGUCGACAAUAUACGUCCUAGUUAUUGUGGAAAGAUCAGCUAAGAAAGAAAAAGAACAGCAGAGGCAGUGAGCAGGCAGGCGCGGAGUGGAGCGGGCUCUCCUGGAAGCCAGAGGCCAGAGCUACGGGUGUCUUGCGCUCACCUGCAGCAAGAGAAAGUUCUCAUCGCGUGGAAAUGGCCCCAGGGAGGGAAGAAUGAAAAGUCGUAUUUGAGCAAUAAUACAAUGUAAACAAACAGUAAGUGUGUGGAGCUUUUCUGUAUUUCUCAAGGCACAAAAAUGUUCUUUGUGAGAGGUUGUGUUGCUGCCUUCUGCCGCUGCAAACUGCUGCUCUCAUCUGCAUAACGAACAGAAAAACCGGACGCUUCUGAUAGAAGUCUCAGCCAUAUAUAACAGUCCUAAGGCCAAGAGCCUCAGGGCACAUCAUCCUGAAGUGAAAACAGAGCGUGCUCUGGGACUCAGUGAGAAGCAGAGGACAAGGGCUGUCCAGUGAUGCCAUCUCUCAGUGCAGGCUGGCACACACCACUGAUGUCUCCUGGCCACAUCUGCAAGGGUGGCCUCUGAGGACUGGCUUCUGUCCACAGCUUGGAUUCAAGAUGGUGCUAAUGCAGCUCCACCUGGAAUAGCUCAGUACCUGAAUUGCUUUCAGGUCAUGAGGAAUUGACGCCUCUCACUCACAGUGGAAAAGGAUAAUGGGAAUUUGUGAGAAUUAUUUAAUGACCGGUGAAAAAUUCUGCCGUUCUUAACUCCAAGUCAAAAAGAGGCCAAGAGAUGCACAAAGCAUACUCAGAGGCUCUGCAACAAGUAAGGAAGACAUAUCUGACUCGGACACAAAGAGGAGUCCUGCCCUGAUAAGCUGAAACAAGCCUUUUCUUCUGAUCUUUUCAACCAGCUGCCUUCCCUUCACCCCUGCCACACACACCCACAUUUUUUUUUUUUUUUUUUUUUCCUCCAAAGGGAAAAGCCUCUGUGACAGUAUCAUUCUUAGACACCUUUGUUCUUGUGUACGUAUAAGAAACUCAAACCAUCAAUUCAUAACCACUAAUUUUGCUCAGCUGCAGAAGGUCUGGAAAUGAUUGAGUUUAAACUCCACAGUUUGAAUGUGCUUUUGUUACUGUUUUCAAAAUUGAACUGAUAACAGUUCUUCUAACAGGAAGAAGAGCAAAACAUCAGAAAUCCCAUGGGAGUUCCAUUAAUACUUCUCGUGAACAGGCGAUUUAAAUCAUUGUCUGAAAAAUAAAAUACAAGUAGUUUCAGCUUAGUCUAAAAGUACACUGGACAAGACUGCAAAUAUUUUUAAUUGUGUUGCUAUAAAAAAAUUGUAGUGGGCUAGCUGUUUUAAAUCUUACCAGCAGUGAAAAGAAUUCAUCUACUAAAAGAGUACUGCAUACUUUAAAAUACAAAAAAAAUUUGACCAAACUAAUCAUUUCCUUUAAAAUGCUUUCUGCCAAGCUUAGAAUUACCUCACAAAGCCAAUCUCACAACACUGCAACAAAUAACUGAAUUCAGGUACUUCCUUUUAACCCAUUACUCAGGCUUCGAAGAAGCUUUCCAACAUUUAUAGCAGUUUUUAAGUGUUCAGCAGACAUUACUCUAUUUGCUAAACAAUAUCAGACUGCAAAAUUGCUCUUACUGUUGAUAGAUCAAUAAUGACAUGGGAUAAGUCAUUAUCUCCGUGGCAACAGGAUUGUUACUGUUAGAGGAACAUUGCGCAUGUUGCUGCUGCUGCUCUAACAGGCAUGCCUCGGCUUCCUCGCACUGCUGCUCUCUCUGUAAGCCUGGUAUGCCCAGAGUACCACCAACCAAGGGCAUCUCUUUGACUACAGAGAAUUCCACUGCAGCUGAGGUUAUGCUGUUCCUGAAGGAGCUUACCCCCACAAGGAUUUAUGACCCUUCAAUGUGAUGUCUCCAUUUCGCUUCUCUUUUCUUAUUAACCAUAUCCUUGCGGAAAUAGCUGGAAUUAGACAUGGGAUUCCAAAUACAAUCAAGUUUCCAUCA
Centrocercus urophasianus (Greater sage-grouse) is the source of this 2335-nucleotide long non-coding RNA. RefSeq lists it as uncharacterized. The transcript has 3 exons. Lineage: Eukaryota; Metazoa; Chordata; Aves; Galliformes; Phasianidae. The record is from RefSeq and is a predicted model, not a curated record.